GUGGGGAAUAUUGGGCAAUGGAGGCAACUCUGACCCAGCAAUGCCGCGUGAGUGAUGAAGGUAAUUUUAUUGUAAAGCUCUUUUCUUUGGAACGAACAAAUGACGGUACCAAAGGAAUAAGCCCCGGCUAACUACGUGCCAGCAGCCGCGGUAAUACGUAGGGGGCAAGCGUUGUUCGGAAUGACUGGGCGUAAAGGGUGUGUAGGUGGUUUAGCAAGUUAGAUGUGUAAUACCCAGGGCUUAACUCGGGUGCUGCAUCUAAAACUGUUAGACUUGAGUACUGGAGAGGAUAGUGGAAUUCCUAGUGUAGCGGUGGAAUGCGUAGAUAUUAGGAGGAACAUCAGUGGCGAAGGCGACUAUCUGGACAGCAACUGACACUGAGGCACGAAAGCGUGGGGAGCAAACAGG
RNAcentral lists this ribosomal RNA (408 nucleotides) under uncultured bacterium. Its description in RNAcentral is "bacterial SSU rRNA". It matches the Rfam family "Bacterial small subunit ribosomal RNA", at positions 354 to 776 of the family's 1533-position model. The record is from RNAcentral.